This 77-nucleotide transfer RNA is filed under the name Actinomycetota bacterium. RNAcentral's name for it is "tRNA-Leu". It matches the Rfam family "tRNA". From Rfam's summary of the family: Transfer RNA (tRNA) molecules are approximately 80 nucleotides in length. Their secondary structure includes four short double-helical elements and three loops (D, anti-codon, and T loops). The record is from RNAcentral. Lineage: Bacteria; Bacillati; Actinomycetota.
GCCGGCGUAGUCCAAUCGGCAGAGACUCGGCGUUUAGGGCGUCGCCAGUGUGGGUUCGAAUCCCACCGCCGGCACCA